This is a non-coding RNA of Sus scrofa (pig), 2767 nucleotides long. NCBI's taxonomy places the organism in Eukaryota, Metazoa, Chordata, Mammalia, Artiodactyla, Suidae. The record is from RefSeq and is a predicted model, not a curated record.
GGGCCUCUGGCUCCACAGACUUCUCAAAGGGAAGGUGAUUUCAGGGAGACCUCCCCAGCUUUCCACUCCCAGGGGGGCCUCCGACUGAGCCCUGAGGAGAGAAGGACACCACUCCUGGGAGGUCACACCUCUCUGCCAGGUCAGUGUGGCAGGCACUUUCUUCUCCCUGGUGUGAGAAAGGGAAGGGGGGCGGGGGCAGGUGCUGAAAGGAUAGGAGAGGGAAGAAGGGGUAAGGAAAGAGGAUCAGCAGCAGGAGGGGCCUUCCCAGAGGCCUUGAGGAGGGCCACACUGCAGGCCAGGUUAGCAGAGGCCUCCUGUCUCAUUGGAGGAAAGGAGCAGUGGGGAAACAACAGGUUUACAGAAUAGCUAACAAGGCAGUGACUGCAGACAUGAAGACAAUGCAGUUCAUAUGUCUGUCUUUGAAGCUGACCUAGGCCCCGUGUGCUUUUAAGAAAAGACCCUGGGGAGUGGCAGCAGCAGCAGCCCCCCAGGUGGCCUUUGCACAAGAGACAGGGUUACUGCCUGGAACCAAAGGUCUUUGUAAAGACAGCCUUCCAUCCACCAGCAAGGACCCCCACAGGAUUGUUGGAUGUCCUCAAAAAGAGGAUCACACGGUCAUGCCCCCAAUACGACCCUGUGGAAGAGGGACAGGGACCCAUCAGGCCUGAAUCCAGCUCACAGCUUCCUCCGUUAUCAGGGGUUCAGGUAUUAAGCCAUAAGGAAAAGCCCAAGACUCAAGCUGGACUCAAUGUUAAUCAAAUUGGCCAUUUAUUAUCAGUAAAUACAAAGCAAAUAGUGAAGAGUUUCUUAGAAGAAAGUGUUCUUAUUUGGAUUACCUGGUGGCAUAUUAAAAUGCAGUCCCCACAUCAACUCUGGUUCAUCAGGUCCAGUUCACUCACAAGGCUGCCAGGUGAUUCUGGUGGAGCUGAUUGUGAACCUCACCUGGAAAGUCCUUGAUGAUGGCUGCUGUGUCACUGAAUUGGUUAGAACUUGAGGAAAGGGGUAAAGCGAGCUAAUGGAUCUCUCUUAAUGUAACUCUACCAGUGACCCUUACGUAUUGGAACUGGGACCUUUCCCUCAAUCCACUGGCCCAAGCACUGGGAUGCAGUGUUGGAAAUGUCAUUCUUGGAGAGGAAGAUAUUUAUAAACAAAUCACCUGGUAUGAAACUAUUCUACAGGAAGGGCCACUCCUGAGGAAGGAUUGUGUUUCUUUCCCUCUGUCCUGGCCUCCCGGUAGCACCACAGGCUUGGCCGCCCUUCUGGAGAGUGCGAGAAUGUUCAGUGAACAUUAAAGAGCUCUGCCAUCAUAUUCUGCGUCUGCCUCUCAUGUCUGUCAGAGCGGAAUUGCCUUUUCUGGUCCCCCAUCAGGUCUGGUACUUGGCGGUGAGGAGGUGCACAUUCAUUUAGUCAUUCUGAGAAGGGCAAAAGGGCUUCAACUCUUCAACUUUCAGCUUUGGAGGUAUCAUCAUGGACUCAUCAAUUUUCAUAUAUUCAACGAGUGUGUUGAUAACUGAAUUAUUCUUGGCUCCUGUGAUAAUACUCUUCUUAUCAGAAACCAAUGCAGCCAAAGCUGAGUUUAGUUUAAAACAAAGUUUCAAAACAAGAGUGGUUCCAAAUAUAACCUUCACACAUUCUGGAAAGAGGAAGUACUACUUUCUAAGAGAACGAUGGACAAUAAUAAAUUAUUUUUGUCAUUAUUAUUCACAUUUGCCUUCUCUCCCCAUCUUCACCCUGUGGGAGGAUUCCAGUCUUGUCCCUGAAGAAUGGUCAUGCUCACCAAUUAUCGGCAAGUUAGGUGUGUGUUGUGACUAAUGCAGCACAGAUAAACUCACAUUCAAGGUGAAGAUGUAGUUGAUUGACCCACACUUUAAGAAGCUUCCAAGAUACAAAUUUUUUUUCUUCUUACCUGCAGCAAGAGCCCAAUCUUGGCUCUCUUUCAUUUCUCACCUAACAGCUUGUAGAAACAGAAGGGUCAGAGCCCAUCCUCAGGUGGUUCCCUCAGCAAAUCAUGAUUUCCCCACCAUGGUUUGUGGAAGAAACAGGGAGGAGACUAAGUAUUGUUGUUGUUGCUAAAAUAACUAUUGAAGAGGGUGUAUGUGCACAGUCCCUCCCCUCAUCGUCCCCCGUGGCCCUGCAGGUGUGAGCCAUGAUGGACUCCGCCUGUCUGACUCCUGGUCCCGUCCCUGGACAGCAGAUGCUGUGGGAAGAAGCCAGGGCGUCCCGGCCCCUCACCUGGCCCAGGACCCUGCUUGUCCCCCCUCAGCAGAGGCCCAGGCAUGCUUCCAGGCUACUCCACAACCCUAGUGCUUCACAUGGGAAAUGUGGAAGUUACCAUCAAUCUGCAAGUUUCUCCAAAGGAGGAGCAAAAUUUGCACGGCUUUAAGAUUCACUUUACCUCAAGAGAGCAGAGACUGUAUCUGUUUUCCUCGUCAAUAUGACCCCAGAGCCUAAGAUGGUAUCUGACAGUUUAUAUCAGGUCUCACUAUAUACAUCUGAUGAACAAAUAAAUGAACUUGUUACCAAAAGACCCUAGCUGGCCAUAUAUAAUUUAUGUUUUCUUAGGAUAAAGAACUCCAUGACACUAAUAGUGGUAAAUAACUACCAGAUGGGGAAAUGAAAUGUCUGGCAGUGGCUAGGUACUUAGGCGGCUGUUUUAGACCUCGGUUGUCCCCAAGACAGGCAGCAAUAAAUGUUAUGAAUGUCCCUCAUAGCUUUCAGCUUCUAAAAAUAAAUUGCUUUUUUUUUUUUUUUUGUCUUUUUGCCUUUU